RNAcentral lists this ribosomal RNA (482 nucleotides) under uncultured bacterium. RNAcentral describes it as "partial 16S ribosomal RNA". It matches the Rfam family "Bacterial small subunit ribosomal RNA", at positions 30 to 507 of the family's 1533-position model. The record is from RNAcentral.
AUUGAACGCUGGCGGCAUGCCUUACACAUGCAAGUCGAACGGUAACAGGUCUUCGGAUGCUGACGAGUGGCGAACGGGUGCGUAAUACAUCGGAACGUGCCUAGUAGUGGGGGAUAACUACUCGAAAGAGUGGCUAAUACCGCAUGAGAUCUACGGAUGAAAGCAGGGGAUCGCAAGACCUUGUGCUACUAGAGCGGCCGAUGGCAGAUUAGGUAGUUGGUGGGAUAAAAGCUUACCAAGCCGACGAUCUGUAGCUGGUCUGAGAGGACGAUCAGCCACACUGGGACUGAGACACGGCCCAGACUCCUACGGGAGGCAGCAGUGGGGAAUUUUGGACAAUGGGCGCAGGCCUGAUCCAGCAAUGCCGCGUGCAGGAUGAAGGCCUUCGGGUUGUAAACUGCUUUUGUACGGAACGAAAAGCCCUGGGUUAAUACCCUGGGGUCAUGACGGUACCGUAAGAAUAAGCACCGGCUAACUACGUG